AAGUAGAGGUGGGGCCAACUAGGAGAAAUCUUGAAGAGAUCGGAGAAUUGGGGGGAAAAACUAGAGGGGGACCAACUUUGGAGAUCGGAGAAUUAUAGAGAUCGGGAUAUUAGAGAUCGGGGAUGAUAGAGAUGGGGGUGGAGAGCUAGAUUUAGAACCGGGAAGAGGAGAUAAAGAAAAAACAACGUGAUAUGGGUGGGUUUGAAAGGAGGUAACAAUCAUAUUAAUUAAUUAGGAAAAAAUUUAAAAAAAAGGCGUAUUUCGUCAUAGUGUAAGACUGGGGCAAGGCGGAGAGGUCGGCGGUGGGUGGUCCUGAAAUAAAACAUUUAGCUGAAAAAUUAUCGGAAUAACAACUUACAGUCAGUGGCUUAGGCAAUUGCCUUACUUUCUCCAAUUGAACACGAUGAAACCGCGCUGAAAAUAUAUUAAUUAUUAAAAUUAUUCGAUAAAAAAGCUCGAAAAACAAAAAUAAAACUGUAUCUGAUAAUGGAUGAUUAGGUACAGUAGAGCAACGAACGCUCUAUCCGCGGAAAAAGGUGAUUUUGGAAGAAGUUAGUGAAUUGUAACCAACAUAUUUGAUUUUAGAAAAAUUCGGAGAAUAUUUUAAGCAAAAAAAUAUCGAAAAUCGAUGGGAAACUGAAGAAAAUCGAAUCGAAAAAAGAAAAAUGGGCACACGAAAAGAGAAGAGAGAGAAGAGAGCGAGGUACGGUCACACUCGUUUCAACUGUGUGUGUUUUUUUUCCGUUUUUCGAUUCGAUUUUCUUCAGUUUCCCCUCGAUUUUCGAUAUUUUUUUGCUUAAAAUGUUCUCCGAAUUUUUCUAAAAUCAAAUAUGUUGGUUACAAUUCACUAACUUCUUCCAAAAUCACCUUUUUCCGCGGAUAGAGCGUUCGUUGCUCUACUGUACCUAAUCAUCCAUUAUCAGAUACAGUUUUAUUUUUGUUUUUCGAGCUUUUUUAUCGAAUAAUUUUAAUAAUUAAUAUAUUUUCAGCGCGGUUUCAUCGUGUUCAAUUGGAGAAAGUAAGGCAAUUGCCUAAGCCACUGACUGUAAGUUGUUAUUCCGAUAAUUUUUCAGCUAAAUGUUUUAUUUCAGGACCACCCACCGCCGACCUCUCCGCCUUGCCCCAGUCUUACACUAUGACGAAAUACGCCUUUUUUUUAAAUUUUUUCCUAAUUAAUUAAUAUGAUUGUUACCUCCUUUCAAACCCACCCAUAUCACGUUGUUUUUUCUUUAUCUCCUCUUCCCGGUUCUAAAUCUAGCUCUCCACCCCCAUCUCUAUCAUCCCCGAUCUCUAAUAUCCCGAUCUCUAUAAUUCUCCGAUCUCCAAAGUUGGUCCCCCUCUAGUUUUUCCCCCCAAUUCUCCGAUCUCUUCAAGAUUUCUCCUAGUUGGUCCCACUUCUACUUUUUUCCCCCAACUAGGUAUUUAAAGUUCUCUUCGCAAAAAACAUAUAGAAAUCUCUUCUAAAAAUUCUUAAAAAAUUUUUAAACAUCGAAAAACGAAAAUUUUUCGAUUUUUCGGUUUUCAAAAAAUCGAAAAUUUUUCGUUUUUCGAUUUUUAAAAAAUCGAACAAUCGAAAAAUUUGCGCGGAUUUCGUAAAUUUUUGAGAAAAUACGUAAAAACUCCGUUUUAGAUUCGUUCUUCUCGUGAACGACAGAUAACCGAGCACAUAAUUUAUUGCUGGUUAUGAUACAAAAAUUCUUCCUCUUUCGGAAUAUAAUCUUUCAGAAGAAAAUAAUGAAACAUUUUUUAAUCAGACAACAGGUUUGAAUACUUAUCCAAGUUGAAUUAUUAGAAAAUGUCUGUGAAACAUUUUUUUUUUACAAAAAAAGAAAAUUUAGAAAAUUGUAUGAGUGGGAGCAUUCUCUUAUACGGACAAUGAGAAUUUUGUCAGUAUAAGAGAAAAUUUAGAAAAUUGUAUGAGUGGGAGCUUUUGAAGUACUGCGAAUUCUCUUAUACGGACAAUGAGCACUUUGUCAGUAUAAGAGACACGUAAGCAUGCGAGCAAUAUUUUGUAAGCAUAAGAUCACGUAAGCAUUAGAGCACGCGUAAGAGUUAGAGUGGUAAGAGUUAGAGAACGUACUAUUGGGAGUAUUUGCCUUGGGCUCAAAUAAGCCAUACAAAGUGCUGAACUAUGAAGAAUAAUGCUUCAACAUUACAUUACUUACAAAAAAUCAGGUUGAAAGCAAUAUUUACUGUCGUUCGCCAUAAUGAGACGACGAAUCUUACAGCUCCUCGACUUGGAUCCAACUCCAGAAGCGGGAUCCCCAGUGAAAUCAAUAACUUCAGAACGAUUUAGCCUUCCGCAUUUUCAUUUAUUGAAUUACUAUUUGGUUUGAUACAAUAAAGUGUUGAGAUACAAUAAAGUGCAAAUUGAU
Caenorhabditis elegans is the source of this 2375-nucleotide long non-coding RNA. Ensembl annotates it as ncRNA. Its record names the gene linc-30. The record is from Ensembl. Lineage: Eukaryota; Metazoa; Nematoda; Chromadorea; Rhabditida; Rhabditidae.